GGGGGAUAUUGCACAAUGGGGGAAACCCUGAUGCAGCAACGCCGCGUGGAGGAAGAAGGUUUUCGGAUUGUAAACUCCUGUCGUUAGGGACGAUAAUGACGGUACCUAACAAGAAAGCACCGGCUAACUACGUGCCAGCAGUCGCGGUAAAACGUAGGGUGCAAGCGUUGUCCGGAAUUACUGGGUGUAAAGGGAGCGCAGGCGGACCGGCAAGUUGGAAGUGAAAACUAUGGGUUCAACCCAUAAAUUGCUUUCAAAACUGCUGGCCUUGAGUAGUGCAGAGGUAGGUGGAAUUCCCGGUGUAGCGGUGGAAUGCGUAGAUAUCGGGAGGAACACCAGUGGCGAAGGCGACCUACUGGGCACCAACUGACGCUGAGGCUCGAAAGCAUGGGUAGCAAAC
Molecule: ribosomal RNA, 400 nt
Filed under: uncultured bacterium
Lineage: Bacteria
Description: bacterial SSU rRNA
Rfam family: Bacterial small subunit ribosomal RNA
Source: RNAcentral